GAUGAACGCUGGCGGCGUGCUUAACACAUGCAAGUCGAACGGAAAGGCUCCUGCUUGCAGGGGUACUCGAGUGGCGGACGGGUGAGUAACACGUGGGUGAUCUGCCCUGCACUUCGGGAUAAGCCUGGGAAACUGGGUCUAAUACCGGAUAGGACGAUGGUUUGGAUGCCAUUGUGGAAAGUUUUUCGGUGUGGGAUGAGCUCGCGGCCUAUCAGCUUGUUGGUGGGGUAAUGGCCUACCAAGGCGUCGACGGGUAGCCGGCCUGAGAGGGUGUACGGCCACAUUGGGACUGAGAUACGGCCCAGACUCCUACGGGAGGCAGCAGUGGGGAAUAUUGCACAAUGGGCGCAAGCCUGAUGCAGCGACGCCGCGUGGGGGAUGACGGCCUUCGGGUUGUAAACCCCUUUCGCUAGGGACGAAGCGCAAGUGACGGUACCUGGAGAAGAAGCACCGGCUAACUACGUG
Molecule: ribosomal RNA, 465 nt
Filed under: uncultured bacterium
Lineage: Bacteria
Description: partial 16S ribosomal RNA
Rfam family: Bacterial small subunit ribosomal RNA
Source: RNAcentral